GAACACAGCCAAUAGAGCAUGGCACUGUGGUCUCUCUGCCUGUCCCUAACUCCUCCAAGAAGUUAGACAUGGCCAAUCCUCCAGCAUUGCCUGUCUGUGUUGAAGACAGGAAGCUGUAGUUUAGAGAGAAUGGUACAAUCCUGGGCUGGACCUGAACCCAGGAACAGAAAGAAAUGGUAUCGUUGGCGCUUUAGGAAUAGUUUUCUGAAGUUACAAUUGUCAAUCAAUCUUUUU
RNAcentral lists this long non-coding RNA (234 nucleotides) under Mus pahari (shrew mouse). Its description in RNAcentral is "lncRNA (MGP_PahariEiJ_G0004553.1)". The record is from RNAcentral. Lineage: Eukaryota; Metazoa; Chordata; Mammalia; Rodentia; Muridae.